Molecule: ribosomal RNA, 274 nt
Filed under: uncultured bacterium
Lineage: Bacteria
Description: partial 16S ribosomal RNA
Rfam family: Bacterial small subunit ribosomal RNA
Source: RNAcentral
AUACGGAGGGAGCAAGCGUUGUCCGGAAUCACUGGGCGUAAAGGGCAUGUAGGCGGGCUGUUAAGUCAGGAGUGAAAUUCACUUGCUUAACGAGUGAACUGCUUUUGAAACUGGCAGUCUUGAGUACUGGAGAGGUGAGCGGAAUUCCAGGUGUAGCGGUGAAAUGUGUAGAUAUCUGGAAGAACACCGGUGGCGAAGGCUGCUCUCUGGCCAGUUACUGACGCUGAGGUGCGAAAGCGUGGGGAGCGAACAGGAUUAGAAACCCCAGUAGUCC